Molecule: microRNA, 22 nt
Filed under: Macaca fascicularis (crab-eating macaque)
Lineage: Eukaryota; Metazoa; Chordata; Mammalia; Primates; Cercopithecidae
Also listed under: 1 other name
Description: microRNA miR-548o-3p
Source: RNAcentral
CAAAAACUGCAGUUACUUUUGC